GAUGAACGCUGGCGGCGUGCUUAACACAUGCAAGUCGAACGAUGAAGCCCAGCUUGCUGGGUGGUUUAGUGGCGAACGGGUGAGUAACACGUGAGUAACCUGCCCUUUACUCUGGGAUAAGCCUUGGAAACUGGGUCUAAUACUGGAUAUGACUUCUCAUCGCAUGGUGGGGGGUGGAAAGAUUUAUUGGUUUUGGAUGGACUCGCGGCGUAUCAGCUUUUUGGUGUGGUAAUGGCACAGCAAGGCGACGACGGGUAGCCGGCCUGAGAGGGUGACCGGCCACACUGGGACUGAGAGACGGCCCAGAGUCCUACGGGAGGCAGCAGUGGGGAAUAUUGCACAGUGGGCGCAAGCCUGAUGCAGCGACGCCGCGUGAGGGAUGACGGCCUUCGGGUUGUAAACCUCUUUCGGUAGGGAAGAAGCGGGAGUGACGGUACCUGAAGAAGAAGCGCCGGCUAACUACGUG
This 466-nucleotide ribosomal RNA is filed under the name uncultured bacterium. Its description in RNAcentral is "partial 16S ribosomal RNA". It matches the Rfam family "Bacterial small subunit ribosomal RNA", at positions 28 to 507 of the family's 1533-position model. The record is from RNAcentral.